CAGUAGGGAAUCUUCCACAAUGGGCGAAAGCCUGAUGGAGCAACGCCGCGUGAGUGAAGAAGGCCUUCGGGUUGUAAAGCUCUGUCCUUGGGGAAGAACCGUAGUGAUAGCAAAUGCUCACUACCUGACGGUACCCAUGGAGGAAGCACUGGCUAACUACGUGCCAGCAGCCGCGGUAAUACGUAGAGUGCAAGCGUUGUCCGGAAUCAUUGGGCGUAAAGGGUACGCAGGCGGAUAUGCAAGUCAAAUGUGAAAACUACCGGCUUAACUGGUAGACUGCGUUUGAAACUGUAUAUCUUGAGUGCAGCAGAGGAGAGCGGAAUUUCUAGUGUAGUGGUGGAAUACGUAGAUAUUAGAAAGAACACCAGUGGCGAAGGCGGCUCUCUGGGCUGACACUGACGCUCAGGUACGAAAGCUGGAGGAGCGAACGGGAUUAGAUACCCCGGUAGUUCCAGCUGUAAACGAUGGACACUAGGUGUUGGGGGUUCGAUUCCCUCAGUGCCGUAGUUAACGCAGUAAGUGUCCCGCCUGGGGAUUACGGUCGCAAGACUGAAACUCAAAGGAAUUGACGG
RNAcentral lists this ribosomal RNA (572 nucleotides) under uncultured Bacillota bacterium. RNAcentral's name for it is "bacterial SSU rRNA". It matches the Rfam family "Bacterial small subunit ribosomal RNA", at positions 352 to 916 of the family's 1533-position model. Lineage: Bacteria; Bacillati; Bacillota. The record is from RNAcentral.